This 391-nucleotide transfer-messenger RNA is filed under the name bovine gut metagenome. It matches the Rfam family "transfer-messenger RNA". From Rfam's summary of the family: Bacterial tmRNA, also known as 10Sa RNA or SsrA, is named for its dual tRNA and mRNA-like properties. Its role is to liberate the mRNA from a stalled ribosome. The record is from RNAcentral.
UGGUUUUGACAGCGCUGAUAUUGGACAGUAAGCACGUCGGGCGUGGGAGUUUGGCCCGUUAAUCCCAGACUUCGCACUUUUUAGUUGCCAACAACAACUACGCACUCGCUGCCUAAUUAACCAGGUUGACAAGGCUUAAUCGGGUCGGCCAAGGCUGCCGGUCUGACGAGUAUCCCGCCAUUCUUUAGGCCUGUUAUGGGUGGCAUACGGGGUAUCAUUCAAACGGGAUGCGCAAGACGGAUGCCUCUGCCGUUUUGCUAAGAUUCAGGGGAUAAGCUUCGGGUGGCCCGUCUUCCGGCAGCCCGCUGAUGAAAAACCAAGGAGGACUAAACGUGUAGAAAGCUGCCUGAUGCGACGUUUGGACGGCGGUUCGAGUCCGCCCAGCUCCACA